RNAcentral lists this ribosomal RNA (253 nucleotides) under uncultured bacterium. RNAcentral describes it as "partial 16S ribosomal RNA". It matches the Rfam family "Bacterial small subunit ribosomal RNA", at positions 524 to 776 of the family's 1533-position model. The record is from RNAcentral.
UACGUAGGGCGCAAGCGUUGUCCGGAAUUAUUGGGCGUAAAGAGCUCGUAGGCGGCCUGUUACGUCUGCUGUGAAAUCCCGGGGCUUAACCCCGGGCGUGCAGUGGGUACGGGCAGGCUGGAGGCAGGCAGGGGAGAACGGAAUUCCCGGUGUAGCGGUGAAAUGCGCAGAUAUCGGGAGGAACACCGGUGGCGAAGGCGGUUCUCUGGGCCUGUACUGACGCUGAGGAGCGAAAGCGUGGGGAGCGAACAGG